This 209-nucleotide long non-coding RNA is filed under the name Medicago truncatula (barrel medic). RNAcentral describes it as "long non-coding RNA (MTRU_LNC007890)". The record is from RNAcentral. Lineage: Eukaryota; Viridiplantae; Streptophyta; Magnoliopsida; Fabales; Fabaceae.
AUCUGUCAAGCUUUACUGCCUUUGUAAAGCCAUCAGCAAGUUGCAGUUCUGUGGGGCAAUAGUGCAGCUCAAUCAUUCAAUUAGUCACCUGCUCUCUAAUGAAAUGGAAUCUGGUCUCAAUGUGUUUACUCCUGCCAUGUGAGAUUGGAUUCUUUGCAAGACUUAUGGCUGAUUUAUUAUCAAUUUUCAGUGUUAGAGGCUUCAUCACU